GGGGGGAAGCAAGUAGUCAACUACUCGCUUACAUCCCUGGUAUCUAAUGGUCCCUUCUUGCCUUAAACUCUAUGAAUCCAACUGGCUUUAAACAGUGGGGGACAAGAAUGGAGGGGAAAUCUCUUGAGAGAUUGAAGAGACUGGGAUUGCUCAUCUUGACAGAGGAGAUUGGCUUGGACCUGUGAAAGACUACCCACUGGAGAAGCAACUGCCUCUAGUGGAACCGAGCAACCAUCACUGCGCGACUCCCCUCAUCAUAGGAACUACUUUCCCCAGAGUGCUUUGCGAAAGCCUGGCUAUUUCCCAUGGUGCCUUGCAGGGGAAACUACACAAAGGGGGCAGGCUGCGCUCUGCCUUCUUAACCAGCUGCUGCUGCAGGGCCUCCAACCCCGCCUGCAUCCUCUUCCGUGCACUGUGGAGAACCAGGGCUAGGAGUCCCUGAUCCAGAUGCAGAAGGAACCGGGGGAGGAGUCCACUCUUCUGGAUCCUCAGGGCUCGGAGGAAAUGGAGGCUGGAGUAGCAGACGACUGUGCCGCCUGCCUCUUGAAGGAAGAGGAUUCCGAGCUGGAAGACCCGGAGAUGGUGCCAUCCCACAAGAUGCAGCCAGGGGUCUCCAAGGGCGACAUCUCACCUGGCUCCCAAUGGGACAUGGCUGGCCAAAGCCCAGCCACUGGAGCAAAGGUGC
This is a non-coding RNA of Pelodiscus sinensis (Chinese soft-shelled turtle), 685 nucleotides long. The record is from RefSeq and is a predicted model, not a curated record. Lineage: Eukaryota; Metazoa; Chordata; Testudines; Trionychidae.